AGAAUCUGCAGACAUAAUCAGUGGUAAACCAACAAAACAAACAUCAGUAUCAGGACUAUAAAUCAAAAUAUUCAAACAAGGAGAUGCGGAGGCAUGCAACCAUACUCUGCUGUCACUUUCUUCAUGAUUGCCAUUAGCCUUUGAAUACUCAAAUAUUUCUCCUUCUAGAACACAGAUGGCCUUGUCCUUGUUGUUACCUUCAAAACCCC
This 209-nucleotide long non-coding RNA is filed under the name Mytilus galloprovincialis (Mediterranean mussel). Lineage: Eukaryota; Metazoa; Mollusca; Bivalvia; Mytilida; Mytilidae. The record is from RNAcentral.